Molecule: unclassified non-coding RNA, 658 nt
Organism: Pocillopora damicornis (cauliflower coral)
Lineage: Eukaryota; Metazoa; Cnidaria; Anthozoa; Scleractinia; Pocilloporidae
Source: RefSeq, a predicted model, not a curated record
UUCAGGGAUUAGGAAGGUUUAACAGGCAAAUGAGCCUAUGACCCCUAUCAUUGGAAAGUUAUGGGCCAUUUAUAAAACGUUUGGGCCAUUAGGGUAAAUAAAUGGGCCAGUAAAAAUUUUAACAAAGGUUUAUUGCUUGUGUAUUACAGUCUAUACCUAUAUCUGUUUCGUCCGUUUCACGGUCGUUUUCGCUCACAGUAUCACGAUUCUGCUCCGCUGUUGUGUUGAAAAAUGUAGACAACGUUCUCUGCGAGCUGUCCAAUCUCACGAUUUUUUUCGGAGGCAUGAGGCUAAUCGAUGCAAAUACAUUCAAAGCGACGAAAACGCUCGAACUCUACUCGAAAACGAAAGCACAUGGAACUCCGAGCAAUAGCCUCGUUUGUAUGCAAAGUCCGAGUUCAGAAUCUGGGAACAAGAAUAAAGCGAGCGUGAUCAAACGAGCGAAGGCACCGUAGUUUUUCGCUUGUUUAUGUCUCACCAAAGUGAAACUUUUACAAAUUACAAUCCUUUUCACAAAAUAGUUUGUAUUUCACUAGCUUUGUGCGGUCAGGGCGUAUCACAGGCCCGGAAAUCAACAAGCCGAUGAAGUUAACACCAAUGAGGUCACAGGCACAGAUCAAGGUCAAAAUCAGCCAAUGGCUACACAAGAAGCACGCGC